UAUUCUUUUUUUCCAAUUGGUGGCAGGAACCACACGGCACAGGUGAUGAUGUAGCCGGAACUAAUGCCAAAAGGAGGAUAAUAUUCUCUACUAUGAAAUGCAUGCCUAAUUUAUACCAUAGAUGCAGAGCAGCCUCGCUCAGGGUAUGUUUUUGGCGGGCGGCCGGGGUGCUUACCCUGGGGCCCCGUUGCAAGGUCCGCUGGCGUAUUUGGAGAAAACUGCUACUAAUAUAGAUAUGGUAGGGCUGGGCGAUGGAAGAAGGUGACGCGGUCGCGGGAGGGGCAGGGGCCGGGGCCGCGGCAGAGGCCGAGGUCGUGGCGCAUCCCCUGAAUACGGCGGCAGUAUGACCCCUCCAUAGCGCGCCCACUCAAAGCGCGGCCGUGCUUAAGCAUUCUACAACACACAUGCUCCGUAAAAUCAAACUUGUAAUUCCUGAUUCCCAGUAUCCAUUUAACUAAUUUGACGAAGCAUGUUGCUGAUGAUACCUAGUGUACAAAAACGCAAUAAAUAUUUUGAUUUACUUAGUAACUUGUUUUACAGUAAACGGGUUUUUAUUGUAACAUGCAUUUUAUGGAUAACAAUUAAAUCAUAGCCUCCGAUUCGACUUUUUGUGGGC
Molecule: long non-coding RNA, 616 nt
Organism: Amyelois transitella
Lineage: Eukaryota; Metazoa; Arthropoda; Insecta; Lepidoptera; Pyralidae
Exons: 3
Source: RefSeq, a predicted model, not a curated record